CUGUUUGCACACAGCAAUUCAGUUGGCUACGAAUUGCCAUGUUUAAACACACUGCAUCUAGAGGAUCUUCCGAUGCUGAAAAGCAUAGGCGUCAAUUUGCCAUCACUAGGAGAGAGAUGUAUUUUUGAAUGCCCAAAUUUGAAAUUUGACGGGACGAUUGGUGAUCAUAACUGACUCAACAUAUGUGCUUCGAUGGCUUCAGGUGUUUAGCAUGGUAACUGCUUUGGUCCAAAAAGAAAUUAUAGAUCCGAUUUUUGAUCCACGUAGUUCACAUGAGAAGAAAUGAAGAUGGGAUCCACAGGGCAAUGGAUGAAUGGAGGAAAGCUGAAGAGCUUUCUUGCACGUCAAAAAGCAGCUGAAUGAAAAGGAAGAACAGGCCAAAGAGGAUCAGAGGUAUUACAAGGUACAAUUGAUUGUGGAUGAUUCAGUUUACGUACAUUUCUUUAGUUUAAAGCUUUUGGUUUUAAUUAUGUUUUUAGUUUCAUAAAGAAAAAUGGUGAGAAUCUUGUUUCUGGAGUUGUUAGUCUUUAUCAACUUUUCUUAAACCUCAUUGAAUCAAGGAAGCCUUUGGUGGA
Molecule: long non-coding RNA, 575 nt
Organism: Cynara cardunculus var. scolymus (artichoke)
Lineage: Eukaryota; Viridiplantae; Streptophyta; Magnoliopsida; Asterales; Asteraceae
Exons: 3
Source: RefSeq, a predicted model, not a curated record